RNAcentral lists this unclassified non-coding RNA (336 nucleotides) under soil metagenome. RNAcentral's name for it is "partial contains 5.8S ribosomal RNA, internal transcribed spacer 2, and large subunit ribosomal RNA". The stretch from base 1 to 120 matches the Rfam family "5.8S ribosomal RNA", at positions 35 to 154 of the family's 154-position model. The record is from RNAcentral.
GAUGAAGAACGCAGCGAAAUGCGAUAAGUAGUGUGAAUUGCAGAAUUCAGUGAAUCAUCGAAUCUUUGAACGCACAUUGCGCCCCUUGGUAUUCCAUGGGGCAUGCCUGUUCGAGCGUCAUUUGUACCUUCAAGCUUUGCUUGGUGUUGGGUGUUUGUCUCGCCUCUGCGUGUAGACUCGCCUCAAAACAAUUGGCAGCCGGCGUAUUGAUUUCGGAGCGCAGUACAUCUCGCGCUUUGCACUCAUAACGACAGCGUCCAAAAGUACAUUUUACACUCUUGACCUCGGAUCAGGUAGGGAUACCCGCUGAACUUAAGCAUAUCAAUAAGCGGAGGA